Long non-coding RNA from Pezoporus flaviventris, 1169 nucleotides. RefSeq lists it as uncharacterized. The record is from RefSeq and is a predicted model, not a curated record. NCBI's taxonomy places the organism in Eukaryota, Metazoa, Chordata, Aves, Psittaciformes, Psittacidae. The transcript has 3 exons.
UUCUUGAAAAGGUGUUCAGAUUGUGUACUAAUCAUUGUAUUCACUAGAGCAAUAAAAUUAUACUUUUUCCAAAAACUAUACAUUGCAGCUUCCAGAAGAUGACAUAUUGCUCAACACAAAAUUCCAUAAUAAUACACAUUACGUGCCUUCAGUGACCUACAUGAUUCUGACUCCUACUGCUAGUGGCUGUAAAUAUUGAAAGAUAAUUUUCCUCAACUGAUCAAUGAAUUAAAGGUUUUAGUCUCAUGAUUUAGACACUUAUGAUGUAUUCAUAAUAUACAAAAAAAGUAAUAUACCAAAAACAAAUGCAUUUGUUUGUGAUGUUAGACCAUACAUGUAAUAGAUAUAAGAGAAAUAGCAUUUAUUUUUUAUGUGUUGCAAGUUUGGAGAGAUGUUCUUUGAUACUGAGUUUCUGUGGGUAAGUUUUAUGGGGCAGACAAAAGACAUGGAUCUCUGACCCCAAAAUAACAUGCAAUUCACAGCCUCUCUUGUGUUCACAGUUGAGAAGAGACUGCCCAUUACAUGUAAGUAUAGGCUGGCAGUAACUUGGAUACUGAAAAUUUUGGUAGGUAAAAAGUGAUGUACAGUAACAAUGAGAGAAUUCUGUCUUCUCGUUUACUCUGCAGGUUAAAUGUAUGUUUGCCACCAAUACUGUGUGAUAGUGGUUGCAAAGAUACUUAGAAGUAUCACCAGAGAAGCCAGUUUGUUUCUGAGGAUCAGAAGAAAAAAAUUCUUCGGUUGUGGGACUCCUGGUACUCAUAAGAGAACUUGCUGCUUUUGGGGAUGAUGUGAGUGAGGAGAGGUGUUGGGAAGACAGACUCAUCUUCUCUGCAAAUACCACUGGGAAGGCAAAAGGCAUUGAAAGAAAGGGAUUAAAAUAAUGUGAGCUAUUAUGGCCUAAAUGGGUUCCUCACUGGAUAUCACUGACCUCUUUCUAUUUCACUGAACUGCUUUACUGUAAAGAAGAAGGUAGUAUUUGCAGAGAGAUUUCCUGUAGCUCUUUAAAAAUUUUAUGACUGCCCAUGCAGUCCUUGUUAUGCAUUCCUAUGACUAAUGAAUCAGCUGUAGGGACGUUCUUGGUGUUUCAUAUCCUGACCUUUCGACUGUUAGAAUUGUGUAAGAAUAAAGAAAAAUUGUAGUAACAUAGCCGAUAAGCAUGUUUCGCCUAA